CACGUGAAACCCUGUCUGAAUCUGCCGGGACCAUCCGGUAAGGCUAAAUACUAACCAGACACCGAUAGUGAACUAGUACCGUGAGGGAAAGGUGAAAAGAACCCCGGGAGGGGAGUGAAAUAGAUUCUGAAACCAUUUACUUACAAUUAGUCAGAGCCCGUUAAUGGGUGAUGGCGUACAUCUUGCAGUAUGGACCGGCGAGUUAUGUUAACAUGCGAGGUUAAGUGGAAAAAAACGGAGCCGCAGAGAAAUCGAGUCUUAAUAGGGCGUUUAGUAUGUUGAUAUAUACCCGAAACCAUGUGAUCUAUUCAUGAGCAGACUGAAGCUUGGCUAACCCCAAGUGGAGGGUCGAACCGUAGUACGCUGAAAAGUGCCCGGAUGACUUGUGAAUAGUGGAGAAAUUCCAAUCGAACUUGGAGAUAGCUGGUUCUCCUCGAAAUAGCUUUAGGGCUAGCGUGUGAUGUUAAACUUUGGUGGUAGAGCACUGAAUAUGGAAUGGCCGCGCCUAGCGGUACUGACUAUAAUCAAACUCCGAAUACCAUUGUGUAUUAUCAUGCAGUCGGAACCGGGGUGCUAACGUCCCGGCUCGCGAGGGAAACAACCCAGAUCGUCAGCUAAGGUCCCAAAAUCGUGUUAAGUCAGAAAGGUUGUGAGAUUUCAUAAACAACUAGGAGGUUGGCUUAGAAGCAGCCAUCCUUUAAAGAGUGCGUAAUAGCUCACUAGUCAAGAGAUCUUGCGCCAAUAAUGUAACGGGAGU
Molecule: ribosomal RNA, 757 nt
Filed under: Mycoplasmopsis pullorum
Lineage: Bacteria; Bacillati; Mycoplasmatota; Mycoplasmoidales; Metamycoplasmataceae
Description: Mycoplasma pullorum partial 23S ribosomal RNA
Rfam family: Bacterial large subunit ribosomal RNA
Source: RNAcentral